This 492-nucleotide ribosomal RNA is filed under the name uncultured bacterium. Its description in RNAcentral is "partial 16S ribosomal RNA". It matches the Rfam family "Bacterial small subunit ribosomal RNA", at positions 29 to 507 of the family's 1533-position model. The record is from RNAcentral.
AGUGAACGCUGGCGGUAGGCCUAACACAUGCAAGUCUAACGGCAGCACAGUAAGAGCUUGCUCUUACGGGUGGCGAGUGGCGGACGGGUGAGGAAUACAUCUGAAUCUACUUUUUCGUGGGGGAUAACGUAGGGAAACUUACGCUAAUACCGCAUACGACCUACGGGUGAAAGCAGGGGAUCUUCGGACCUUGCGCGAUUGAAUGAGCCGAUGUCGGAUUAGCUAGUUGGCGGGGUAAAGGCCCACCAAGGCGACGAUCCGUAGCUGGUCUGAGAGGAUGAUCAGCCACACUGGAACUGAGACACGGUCCAGACUCCUACGGGGGGCAGCAGUGGGGAAUAUUGGACAAUGGGCGCAAGCCUGAUCCAGCCAUACCGCGUGGGUGAAGAAGGCCUUCGGGUUGUAAAGCCCUUUUGUUGGGAAAGAAAAGCAGCAGGUUAAUACCCCGCUGUUCUGACGGUACCCAAAGAAUAAGCACCGGCUAACUUCGUG